This 253-nucleotide ribosomal RNA is filed under the name uncultured bacterium. RNAcentral's name for it is "partial 16S ribosomal RNA". It matches the Rfam family "Bacterial small subunit ribosomal RNA", at positions 524 to 776 of the family's 1533-position model. The record is from RNAcentral.
GACAGAGGUGCCGAGCGUUAGGCGGAAUCACUGGGCUUAAAGCGUGUGUAGGCGGAUCUGUAAGUACCUUGUGAAAUCCCACGGCUCAACCGUGGAACUGCUUGGUAUACUGCGGGUCUUGAGCCACCUAGGGGCAAGUGGAACAAACGGUGGAGCGGUGAAAUGCGUAGAUAUUGUUUGGAACGCCAAUGGUGAAAACAACUUGCUGGGGGUGUGCUGACGCUGAGACACGAAAGCCAGGGGAGCAAACGGG